Molecule: unclassified non-coding RNA, 332 nt
Filed under: soil metagenome
Description: partial contains 5.8S ribosomal RNA, internal transcribed spacer 2, and large subunit ribosomal RNA
Rfam family: 5.8S ribosomal RNA (bases 1-120)
Source: RNAcentral
GAUGAAGAACGUAGCGAAAUGCGAUAAGUGGUGUGAAUUGCAGAAUUCAGUGAAUCAUCGAAUCUUUGAACGCACAUUGCGCCCUUUGGUAUUCCUUAGGGCAUGCCUGUUCGAGCGUCAUUUAAACCUUCAAGCUAAGCUUGGUGUUGGGUGACUGUCCGCUUCACGGCGGACUCGCCUCAAAAUUAUUGGCGGCCGGUACAUUGGCUUCGAGCGCAGCAGAAACGCGAACUCGGGCCCGUCGUAUUGGCUCCCAGAAGCUAUCUUCACAAUUUUGACCUCGGAUCAGGUAGGGAUACCCGCUGAACUUAAGCAUAUCAAUAAGCGGAGGA